UAUACCGCGAAACUGCGAAUGGCUCAUUAUAUAAGUUAUCGUUUAUUUGAUAAUACUUUACUACUUGGAUAACCGUGGUAAUUCUAGAGCUAAUACAUGCUGAAAAUCCCGACUUCGGAAGGGAUGUAUUUAUUAGAUUAAAAACCAAUGCCCCUCGGGGCUCUCUGGUGAAUCAUGAUAACUAGUCGAAUCGACAGGCCUUGUGCCGGCGAUGGCUCAUUCAAAUUUCUUCCCUAUCAACUUUCGAUGUUUGGGUAUUGGCCAAACAUGGUGGCAACGGGUAACGGAGGGUUAGGGCUCGACCCCGGAGAAGGAGCCUGAGAAACGGCUACUACAUCCAAGGAAGGCAGCAGGCGCGCAAAUUACCCAAUCCCGACACGGGGAGGUAGUGACAAUAAAUACUGAUACAGGGCUCUUUUGGGUCUUGUAAUCGGAAUGAGUACAAUUUAAAUCCCUUAACGAGGAACAAUUGGAGGGCAAGUCUGGUGCCAGCAGCCGCGGUAAUUCCAGCUCCAAUAGCGUAUAUUAAAGUUGUUGUGGUUAAAAAGCUCGUAGUUGAACCUUGGGCCUGGCUGGCCGGUCCGCCUCACCGCGUGCACUGGUCCGGCCGGGCCUUUCCCUCUGCGGAACCCCAUGCCCUUCACUGGGUGUGGCGGGGAAACAGGACUUUUACUUUGAAAAAAUUAGAGUGCUCAAGGCAGGCCUAUGCUCGAAUACAUU
Molecule: ribosomal RNA, 720 nt
Filed under: Trichoderma reesei
Lineage: Eukaryota; Fungi; Ascomycota; Sordariomycetes; Hypocreales; Hypocreaceae
Description: SSU rRNA
Rfam family: Eukaryotic small subunit ribosomal RNA
Source: RNAcentral